Molecule: small RNA, 150 nt
Filed under: Bacillus sp. (in: firmicutes)
Lineage: Bacteria; Bacillati; Bacillota; Bacilli; Caryophanales; Bacillaceae
Also listed under: 1 other name
Description: Bacillus sp. c-di-AMP sequence
Rfam family: c-di-AMP riboswitch aptamer (ydaO/yuaA leader)
About the family: This family represents a conserved RNA structure found upstream of the ydaO and yuaA genes in Bacillus subtilis and related genes in other bacteria. The ydaO/yuaA element is thought to act as a genetic "off" switch for the ydaO and yuaA genes in its native state. It is believed that the element may be triggered during osmotic shock leading to activation of ydaO, a predicted amino acid transporter gene, and members of the yuaA-yubG operon which code for KtrA and KtrB K+ transporters.
Source: RNAcentral
AUUAUGCACAUGCUGAAUCUUAUUUUAAGAGCGGGGGACCCAAUCUAGACGGCGGAUUUCCGCUUGGGGUGAAUCCAUAUAAUGGAGGGGCUUGCUGUUUCCAUCGUCCCAACCCGAAAGCUAACCUCGUAAGCAUUUAAGGAAACAUAA